Cucumis sativus (cucumber) is the source of this 824-nucleotide long non-coding RNA. RefSeq lists it as uncharacterized. Lineage: Eukaryota; Viridiplantae; Streptophyta; Magnoliopsida; Cucurbitales; Cucurbitaceae. The transcript is spliced from 2 exons. The record is from RefSeq and is a predicted model, not a curated record.
GUUUUUUUUUUUCCAAAAAGUGAGAUUUUCUAAUGAAAGUGAAAGAAUAAAGUUUUGAAUACGGAACGAACGGUUCCUUCAACCGUUGAAUGAGAGGAGAAAACCGGAAGGGGAGAAUGAAGGGGUUGAGGCUAAUUAUCUAUUGUUGGGAAGCAUUAAGACCAUGAGAAGGUUGGUUCUGAGGCGUUGUACCUUAGUUAAUGAGGGAAGAUAGAGUUACUGUGUAGUCUUACAUGGCGUGCUAGUCAUGGCUUCUCAUCAUACGUUUAAGAAGUCAGUUUAUAAGGUUGUUACUUCUUAACGCCUCAACCUCAAUUAAGCAAGGAAGAGAGAGCAUAAGAAUUGAAGAAUUAAGACAGAAAAAGGAAGCCCUAAAGAUUGUCUUUUGAAUUGAAGUUGUUGGGUGAGUGAGGUAAAGAAAGGAAGGAGAACUUCACACGUCUAAGUGUCCCUCCUCAAGGAAGCAAUUGAAGCGAUGAAAAAGGGAAAGGAAGAUCUUGAGAGAUGUCCUCGAGAUGGAUUUUAGACGAGAAAAGGGAAAGAGGCCUAGAUUGGAGUCUUACACCAUAGCUCGAAAGACUGCAACUUGGUGGAAAGAAGAAGGCAGUGAAAUGAUCAAAGUUGGUUUAUUUUACAAAAAGCAAAAGUUGUAAAUUGUAUUUUGUACUUCUGUAAGCAUAAAGUUAAUAAAGAGAAGAAGUUAAGUUAUUUUGCUGUGUUUUUGUAUUUCAUUGAGUUGUUUUUCCAUUACAAAAGUUGUGAAGGUUUCUAAGACUCAAUCGAAGAGUUUUACAAAGAGACAAGGAGAAGAGUUGUUCCACUCA